RNAcentral lists this ribosomal RNA (352 nucleotides) under uncultured bacterium. RNAcentral describes it as "bacterial SSU rRNA". It matches the Rfam family "Bacterial small subunit ribosomal RNA", at positions 1 to 334 of the family's 1533-position model. The record is from RNAcentral.
CUAUGCGCCUUGCCAGCCCGCUCAGUCAGAGUUUGAUCCUGGCUCAGAUUGAACGCUGGCGGCAUGCCUUACACAUGCAAGUCGAACGGCAGCACGGGGGCAACCCUGGUGGCGAGUGGCGAACGGGUGAGUAACAUAUCGGAACGUGCCCUGGAGUGGGGGAUAACUAGUCGAAAGACUAGCUAAUACCGCAUACGAUCUACGGAUGAAAGUGGGGGAUCGCAAGACCUCAUGCUCGUGGAGCGGCCGAUAUCUGAUUAGCUAGUUGGUGGGGUAAAGGCCUACCAAGGCAUCGAUCAGUAGCUGGUCUGAGAGGACGACCAGCCACACUGGGGACUGAGACACGGCCCAG